CCUACGGGAGGCAGCAGUGAGGAAUAUUGGUCAAUGGCCGCAGGGCUGAACCAGCCAAGUCGCGUGAGGGAUGACGGUCCUAUGGAUUGUAAACCUCUUUUGUCAGGGAGCAAAGGGCGCCACGUGUGGCGCUUUGCGAGUACCUGAAGAAAAAGCAUCGGCUAACUCCGUGCCAGCAGCCGCGGUAAUACGGAGGAUGCGAGCGUUAUCCGGAUUUAUUGGGUUUAAAGGGUGCGCAGGCGGAAUGGCAAGUCAGCGGUAAAAUUUCGGGGCUCAACCCCGUCGUGCCGUGGAAACUGGCGUUCUUGAGUGAGCGAGAAGUAUGUGGAAUGCGUGGUGUAGCGGUGAAAUGCAUAGAUAUCACGCAGAACUCCGAUUGCGAAGGCAGCAUACCGGCGCUCAACUGACGCUCAUGCACGAAAGCGUGGGUAUCGAACAGGAUUAGAUACCCCUGUAGUC
RNAcentral lists this ribosomal RNA (459 nucleotides) under uncultured bacterium. RNAcentral's name for it is "partial 16S ribosomal RNA". It matches the Rfam family "Bacterial small subunit ribosomal RNA", at positions 338 to 795 of the family's 1533-position model. The record is from RNAcentral.